RNAcentral lists this ribosomal RNA (460 nucleotides) under uncultured bacterium. RNAcentral describes it as "partial 16S ribosomal RNA". It matches the Rfam family "Bacterial small subunit ribosomal RNA", at positions 338 to 795 of the family's 1533-position model. The record is from RNAcentral.
CCUACGGGAGGCAGCAGUGAGGAAUAUUGGUCAAUGGACGAGAGUCUGAACCAGCCAAGUAGCGUGAAGGAUGACUGCCCUAUGGGUUGUAAACUUCUUUUAUAAAGGAAUAAAACGAGGCACGUGUGCCUUUUUGCAUGUACUUUAUGAAUAAGGAUCGGCUAACUCCGUGCCAGCAGCCGCGGUAAUACGGAGGAUCCGAGCGUUAUCCGGAUUUAUUGGGUUUAAAGGGAGCGUAGAUGGGUUGUUAAGUCAGUUGUGAAAGUUUGCGGCUCAACCGUAAAAUUGCAAUUGAUACUGGCAGUCGUGAGUACAGUUGAGGUAGGCGGAAUGCGUGGUGUAGCGGUGAAAUGCUUAGAUAUCACGAAGAACCCCGAUUGCGAAGGCAGCUUACUAAACUGUGACUGACAUUGAUGCUCGAAAGUGUGGGUAUCAAACAGGAGUAGAUACCCCGGUAGUC